This 1009-nucleotide ribosomal RNA is filed under the name Rothia kristinae. Its description in RNAcentral is "bacterial SSU rRNA". It matches the Rfam family "Bacterial small subunit ribosomal RNA", at positions 39 to 1051 of the family's 1533-position model. The record is from RNAcentral. Lineage: Bacteria; Bacillati; Actinomycetota; Actinomycetes; Micrococcales; Micrococcaceae.
GCGGGGCGGGUGCUACCAUGCAGUCGAACGCUGAAGCCUGGUGCUUGCACCGGGUGGAUGAGUGGCGAACGGGUGAGUAAUACGUGAGUGACCUGCCUUUGACUCUGGGAUAAGCCUGGGAAACUGGGUCUAAUACCGGAUGCGACUACUGCCCGCAUGGGCUGGUGGUGGAAAGGGUUAUGUACUGGUCUUAGAUGGGCUCACGGCCUAUCAGCUGGUUGGUGGGGUAAUGGCCUACCAAGGCGACGACGGGUAGCCGGCCUGAGAGGGUGACCGGCCACACUGGGACUGAGACACGGCCCAGACUCCUACGGGAGGCAGCAGUGGGGAAUAUUGCACAAUGGGCGCAAGCCUGAUGCAGCGACGCCGCGUGAGGGAUGACGGCCUUCGGGUUGUAAACCUCUUUCAGCAGGGAAGAAGCGGAAGUGACGGUACCUGCAGAAGAAGCGCCGGCUAACUACGUGCCAGCAGCCGCGGUAAUACGUAGGGCGCAAGCGUUGUCCGGAAUUAUUGGGCGUAAAGAGCUCGUAGGCGGCUUGUCGCGUCUGCUGUGAAAGCCCGGGGCUUAACUCCGGGUGUGCAGUGGGUACGGGCAGGCUAGAGUGCAGUAGGGGUAACUGGAAUUCCUGGUGUAGCGGUGAAAUGCGCAGAUAUCAGGAGGAACACCGAUGGCGAAGGCAGGUUACUGGGCUGUUACUGACGCUGAGGAGCGAAAGCAUGGGGAGCGAACAGGAUUAGAUACCCUGGUAGUCCAUGCCGUAAACGUUGGGCACUAGGUGUGGGGGACAUUCCACGUUUUCCGCGCCGUAGCUAACGCAUUAAGUGCCCCGCCUGGGGAGUACGGCCGCAAGGCUAAAACUCAAAGGAAUUGACGGGGGCCCGCACAAGCGGCGGAGCAUGCGGAUUAAUUCGAUGCAACGCGAAGAACCUUACCAAGGCUUGACAUACACCGGAUCGUUCCAGAGAUGGUUCUUCCCUUUUGGGCUGGUGUACAGGUGGUGCAUGGUUG